UCAAGUGCGGCAUAGCCCCUUGGCCGGGGCCCCCGGUUUCUUGCGUUGCGUACCUGCACGAUGGCAUCUGUUUUUAGUCCCAACGACCCUCGUUCGUUUAGUGCUCCCCGUUUCGGUUGGCGGGGGCACAGGGCGAAACUUGUAGCUUGGUCCGUUACCCACGUCGCGUCCGGGCGUCGUGGUGAGCGGGGCACUGCUUAAGCUCUCGGAUAUGGAAAGCAUUGAGGGCAUUGACAUCUCGUCCUUGCCCGAGCAUGCAUUAGAUUGGACCCCAAGACCGGUGCACGACUGUCGCUCCCGCCCCGGUUCGGCCGUGCGGUGAGGACGUCGUUGAGGAAUGCUACCUGGUUGAUCCUGCCAGUA
This 363-nucleotide unclassified non-coding RNA is filed under the name Cynanchum laeve (honeyvine). RNAcentral describes it as "contains 5' external transcribed spacer, ETS". The record is from RNAcentral. Lineage: Eukaryota; Viridiplantae; Streptophyta; Magnoliopsida; Gentianales; Apocynaceae.